AAAAGAUUAAGCCAAAAAUAAAUUAAGCUUAAUUAAAAUAAAUUAAAUGGAAUAAUGUGAAAAAUGGAGGCAGAGGUGUGGAUAGAAACGCUUGGGCCACAAGCCCAAGCUUCAAACAACCAAAACGAGUCCACGCAUUCAGGUCAACAAAUCCAAGCCAGGACAAGAAAAACUCAGCAACUGCACAAGAGCUUCCUUCAUCUUCAUACGCGUUCUCUCACUCUCGAAGAAGUUUCAAACGAAAGCCAAAAAAUAAGCUCCGAAUUUUAUGCUCCAACACCAAAACCAAAAUCAUCAUUCAUCUCUCAACUUCAAUUCAUUUUUGUGUGCGCAGAAUCGAGGAGGAUGGAAUCGAUAAUUGAAGCAAGAAACCUUACCGAAUCGGUGUUUCGACGCGGUAGCUACAGUGGAUUCUAAUUGAAUUAUUUAUGGAAGGUGGGAUUGGAUUGUGUUUGGAAAUGCAUGGAUUGUUAAAUGAAGGAUCCUAUGCUUGGACUGUGGUAACUUGUUGUUAUGGAACUUUUAAUUGUGUAUUAAAAUUGGACUGUGUAUGUAUGAAAUUAUUAUGGGAUUUGAAUGCUAUAUUUUGGAAUGGUUUGUAUGUGCAAUUGUGUGAUGGAACUUUGAAUUUGAAAUGUACAAAUUGCCGUGAGUUAGUGUAUUGGUUUGAAAUGGACAAGUAUUAAAAAUGGUCAUGAUGUGAAAAUAACAUGGAUUAUGGUUUGUAAUGAAAAUGGACAUGGAUUAUGUGAUUUUUGGAUCUUGGGGUUUUAUGUGGGUGAUGGAUAGCAUGAUAAGACAGUUAGGGAUUGAGCGAUGAUAGCAUGAUAAGUUAACUUUGGUCAACUUGUUGACCAAAAAGUCAAUCGUUGACCAAAAGUCAACUUAUGCAAAAAAAUGAUGUAAUUUUGUAAUCUUUUCCUCAACACAAUGUAUGGACUAUACAAUGAAUGCAAUGGACUUCUUUUGUCAAACAA
Long non-coding RNA from Lathyrus oleraceus (garden pea), 977 nucleotides. RefSeq lists it as uncharacterized. The record is from RefSeq and is a predicted model, not a curated record. NCBI's taxonomy places the organism in Eukaryota, Viridiplantae, Streptophyta, Magnoliopsida, Fabales, Fabaceae. The transcript has 2 exons.